ACAACUAAAGAAGAUACUCCGAAAACUAUACUAAAACUCCUGCAUCAUUUUUGGGUCAAAAACUGUUGGGAAUUGGUCUUUCACAUCACUGUUAGCAAUAGUUAAAGUGUUUUAAAGGUUUUCUCUACAUCAUUUGGUAUUCAAAUGGGUUAAGGGAGUUGGUUUUGCUGUGUUGAUCUGCUGAAGUGCAUUUUCUACUGUUGUUUAUUCUUCUACUUUCAUUUGCUUUGGAUUUUUCCCAGGUAUUUCUUCGAUCUUGCUGAUAUGAGAAGUGUAUUUGGA
This 282-nucleotide long non-coding RNA is filed under the name Nicotiana benthamiana. RNAcentral's name for it is "long non-coding RNA (NBEN_LNC017401)". The record is from RNAcentral. Lineage: Eukaryota; Viridiplantae; Streptophyta; Magnoliopsida; Solanales; Solanaceae.